Molecule: small nucleolar RNA, 106 nt
Organism: Malania oleifera
Lineage: Eukaryota; Viridiplantae; Streptophyta; Magnoliopsida; Santalales; Ximeniaceae
Source: RefSeq, a predicted model, not a curated record
ACUUAAUGGUGUGGUAAUUUACGCAAAAGGUCCCUAAAAUGCUCUCACAUGUCAAAAAAUUGCUCAACAUUUUUCUAUGAGAAACUAGUGAUAGCCUUCCUAAGCU